This 118-nucleotide ribosomal RNA is filed under the name Caerostris darwini. Lineage: Eukaryota; Metazoa; Arthropoda; Arachnida; Araneae; Araneidae. The record is from RNAcentral.
AACGGCCGUACCAUGCUGAAUAUACCGGUUCUCGUUAGAUCACCGAAGUCAAGCAUCAUUGGGCGCGGUCAGUACUUGGAGUGGGUGACCACCUUUACUGGGAACACCGCGUGCCGUU